AUUGAACGCUGGCGGAAUGCUUUACACAUGCAAGUCGAACGGCAGCACGGACUUCGGUCUGGUGGCGAGUGGCGAACGGGUGAGUAAUGUAUCGGAACGUGCCCAGUCGUGGGGGAUAACGUAGUGAAAAUUACGCUAACACCGCAUACGAUCUAUGGAUGAAAGCGGGGGAUCGCAAGACCUCGCGCGAUCGGAGCGGCCGAUAUCAGAUUAGGUAGUUGGUGGGGUAAAGGCCCACCAAGCCAACGAUCUGUAGCUGGUCUGAGAGGACGACCAGCCACACUGGAACUGAGACACGGUCCAGACUCCUACGGGAGGCAGCAGUGGGGAAUUUUGGACAAUGGGCGAAAGCCUGAUCCAGCCAUUCCGCGUGCAGGAUGAAGGCCCUCGGGUUGUAAACUGCUUUUGUACAGAACGAAAAGGUUUCUACUAAUACUAGGAGCUCAUGACGGUACUGUAAGAAUAAGCACCGGCUAACUACGUGCCAGCCGCCGCGGUAA
RNAcentral lists this ribosomal RNA (500 nucleotides) under uncultured bacterium. RNAcentral describes it as "partial 16S ribosomal RNA". It matches the Rfam family "Bacterial small subunit ribosomal RNA", at positions 30 to 523 of the family's 1533-position model. The record is from RNAcentral.